This 223-nucleotide ribosomal RNA is filed under the name uncultured bacterium. Its description in RNAcentral is "partial 16S ribosomal RNA". It matches the Rfam family "Bacterial small subunit ribosomal RNA", at positions 29 to 242 of the family's 1533-position model. The record is from RNAcentral.
AACGAACGCUGGCGGCGCGCUUAACACAUGCAAGUCGAACGAGAAGCUGUAGCAAUACAGUUGUACAGUGGCGAACGGGUGAGUAAUACAUGGGUGACCUACCCUCGAGUGGGGGAUAACCAGCCGAAAGGUUGGCUAAUACCGCAUACGGUUCCAGUUCUGCGGGACUGGAAGGAAAGCUGCCCUGUGAGGGUGGCGCUCUUGGAUGGGCUCAUGUCCUANC